Long non-coding RNA from Homo sapiens (human), 778 nucleotides. Ensembl annotates it as ID2 antisense RNA 1. Its record names the gene ID2-AS1. NCBI's taxonomy places the organism in Eukaryota, Metazoa, Chordata, Mammalia, Primates, Hominidae. The record is from Ensembl.
AGUCCCAGGCUCGCCCAGGCCCGGCCGCCGGCCCGCGCGCACCUGCAGACGCUGCACGUCUUAAGUUUCGAAACGGCCCCCCUCUCCGCCCUGGGGGAGCCGGGAGGAUGUGCAGCCCCAGUCCUCCUGCUCGGCGGAGCCUCGCGCGCGCAGAGCCUAGCGCGAUUCGCGCCCUCAUUACUACUACAAAGCGCGGGCCAGACCAAUCCCCUUUCUAAUGCACCAUUUUCGACUGAGAACAUCAAGAGGCCAGAAACUUCCAAGUCAGCUUGCAGACGCAGACGCCUCCUGGGGUCCUGGCUUUAAGAACCAGAUGCCAACACUCCCGGACAGUUUAUGGCAUCCGGAUCCCUCAAGGGUGCUCAUCUGCAGUUGAGAGUCUAAUAAAUGGCAUUAACAAAGCGUUUCAGCGACUACCACGGCUUCACAGUGGCUCCUCCCCUGCCCUGCCACCAUUCAGGCUGUAAUUCCUUCCAGGAUUCCCGCACCAUCCUGUGUGCCCAGAGCUCUCUAGAGCACCAGGUAGAACUCCGUGCUAAAUCCAAUUGCUUGCAAUCUUCUGAUCCCCUUUUAGGGAGAUCACUUUUCAGCUUGGUUCAAAGAAAGCAAAGUUUGGGAAGUUUGGCGGAGGGGCCGACUUAACUACGGGCACUGCAAAUAUUUUGUUACAAAUGCUGUGAAGUGCCCCGAUUUGUGGCUGCGUUAGCUUUCACAAAGGAUUUUCCUGUGUCUUUUGUUCCGAUCACCAAAUUAAAAGAGAAAAUUAACUUGAGUGAGA